This 236-nucleotide unclassified non-coding RNA is filed under the name Hevea brasiliensis (rubber tree). Lineage: Eukaryota; Viridiplantae; Streptophyta; Magnoliopsida; Malpighiales; Euphorbiaceae. The record is from RNAcentral.
ACAUGAUCUGCAAGCUGCCCUUCCUCAGUCCCAUUGUCGUCGCAUAUCAGGUAUGAAGUCAUCACAUGCUCCAGAGCAUGAAGGCGGUGGCCUGGGAUGCAAAGUAGAGAGAAAAAUGCCAUGGAAGAAUCAUAGGAAGCACCAAAGUAAUCCUCUUAGCCAUUCUUACCGUAAACAAGCUGCUGAUAAUCCACUCAAGGCAUCAAAACUUCAAUUAGAAGGGAAAGAACAGCCUU